GAAAUGCGAUAACUAGUGUGAAUUGCAGAAUUCCGUGAAUCAUCGAGUCUUUGAACGCACAUUGCGCCCCCUGGUAUUCCAAAGGGCAUGCCUGUUCGAGCGUCAUUUGUACCCUCAAGCUUUGCUUGGUGUUGGGCGUCUUGUCUCUAGCUUUGCUGGAGACUCGCCUUAAAGUAAUUGGCAGCCGGCCUACUGGUUUCGGAGCGCAGCACAAGUCGCACUCUCUAUCAGCAAAGGUCUAGCAUCCAUUAAGCCUUUUUUUCAACUUUUGACCUCGGAUCAGGUAGGGAUACCCGCUGAACUUAAGC
RNAcentral lists this unclassified non-coding RNA (308 nucleotides) under plant metagenome. RNAcentral's name for it is "partial contains 5.8S ribosomal RNA, internal transcribed spacer 2, and large subunit ribosomal RNA". The stretch from base 1 to 105 matches the Rfam family "5.8S ribosomal RNA", at positions 50 to 154 of the family's 154-position model. The record is from RNAcentral.